UAAGUAAAUAGUGAAAGCGUUCGGCUCAACCGGAUAUCCAUUAUUUAAACUGCAAAGCUAGAGGAUGAGAGAGGUUAUUGGAAUUCCCUGUGUAGGAGUGAAAUCCGUAGAUAUAGGGAGGAACACCGAUGGCGUAGGCAGAUAACUGGCUCAUUCCUGACACUAAGGCACGAAAGCGUGGGUAGCAAACGGGAUUAGAUACCCCGGUAGUCCACGCCGUAAACGAUGGAUGCUA
RNAcentral lists this ribosomal RNA (235 nucleotides) under uncultured Candidatus Saccharibacteria bacterium. Its description in RNAcentral is "partial 16S ribosomal RNA". It matches the Rfam family "Bacterial small subunit ribosomal RNA", at positions 584 to 818 of the family's 1533-position model. Lineage: Bacteria; Candidatus Saccharimonadota. The record is from RNAcentral.